GCUAGUAAUCGUGGAUCAGCAUGCCACGGUGAAUACGUUCCCGGGUCUUGUACACACCGCCCGUCACACCAUGGGAGCCGGUAAUACCCGAAGUCAGUAGUCUAACCGCAAGGAGGACGCUGCCGAAGGUAGGAUUGGCGACUGGGGUGAAGUCGUAACAAGGUAGC
This 167-nucleotide ribosomal RNA is filed under the name uncultured bacterium. Its description in RNAcentral is "partial 16S ribosomal RNA". It matches the Rfam family "Bacterial small subunit ribosomal RNA", at positions 1334 to 1500 of the family's 1533-position model. The record is from RNAcentral.